CCUGAUUCUUGAAGUGAGUCUCAGCUCUUGAGAAUUCAGUGAAGCAAGUAGCAACAGGAGUCAGCAGCCACAUAUACUGAUUCUGAAGAGACAUGAAGUCACGCAGGAGCUGCUGGUCUAUCCUACUGUUCCUCGAACCUGCAGCUCAGCGACAGUGGAGUCUACAGCGUCACCUUCAAAGUACCACAGCAAACCAGACACAUCACAUUAACUGUAUCUGAAUCUCACCUGAACCGUAGAAAUGCAGACGGUG
Molecule: long non-coding RNA, 253 nt
Organism: Mauremys reevesii (Reeves's turtle)
Lineage: Eukaryota; Metazoa; Chordata; Testudines; Geoemydidae
Exons: 3
Source: RefSeq, a predicted model, not a curated record